This 460-nucleotide ribosomal RNA is filed under the name uncultured bacterium. Its description in RNAcentral is "partial 16S ribosomal RNA". It matches the Rfam family "Bacterial small subunit ribosomal RNA", at positions 338 to 795 of the family's 1533-position model. The record is from RNAcentral.
CCUACGGGAGGCAGCAGUGAGGAAUAUUGGUCAAUGGACGGAAGUCUGAACCAGCCAAGUCGCGUGCAGGAUGACUGCCCUAUGAGUUGUAAACUUCUUUUGUAUAGGAGUAAAACAGAGUAUGCAUACUCUCUUGUAUGUACCAUAUGAAUAAGGAUCGGCUAACUCCGUGCCAGCAGCCGCGGUAAUACGGAGGAUCCGAGCGUUAUCCGGAUUUAUUGGGUUUAAAGGGAGCGUAGGUGGAUUGUUAAGUUAGUGGUGAAAGUUUGCGGCUUAACCGGAAAAUUGCAUCUAAGACUGGUAGUCUUGAGUACAGUAGCGGUGGGCGGAAUGCGUGGUGUAGCGGUGAAAUGCUUAGAGAUCACGCAGAACUCCGAUUGCGAAGGCAGCUCACUGGACUGCAACUGACACUGAUGCUCGAAAGUGUGGGUAUCAAACAGGAUUAGAUACCCGGGUAGUC